AGAGUUUGAUCCUGGCUCAGAUUGAACGCUGGCGGUAGGCUUAACACAUGCAAGUCGUGCGAGAAAGUAUCUUCGGAUAUGAGUAGAGCGGCGGACGGGUGAGUAACGCGUAGGAAUCUACCUAGUAGAAGGGGAUAGCCCGAGGAAACUCGGAUUAAUACCGUAUACCUCCUUCGGGAGAAAGAAGGCCUCUCUUUGAAGCUUUCGCUACUAGAUGAGCCUGCGUAAGAUUAGCUUGUUGGUGAGGUAAAGGCUCACCAAGGCUACGAUCUUUAGCGGGUCUGAGAGGACGAUCCGCCACAUUGGGACUGAGACACGGCCCAGACUCCUACGGGAGGCAGCAGUGGGGAAUAUUGGACAAUGGGCGCAAGCCUGAUCCAGCCAUACCGCGUGUGUGAAGAAGGCCCUAGGGUUGUAAAGCACUUUAAGUUGGGAAGAAAAGUUAUUGGCUAAUACCUAAUAACCGUGACAUUACCAUCAGAAUAAGGACCGGCUAAUUCCGUGCCAGCAGCCGCGGUAAUACGGAAGGUCCAAGCGUUAAUCGGAAUUACUGGGCUUAAAGAGCUCGUAGGUGGUUAAAAAAGUUGAUGGUGAAAUCCCAAGGCUCAACCUUGGAACUGCCAUCAAAACUUUUUAGCUAGAGUGUGAUAGAGGUAAGUGGAAUUUCUAGUGUAGAGGUGAAAUUCGUAGAUAUUAGAAAGAACACCAAAUGCGAAGGCAACUUACUGGGUCACUACUGACACUGAGGAGCGAAAGCAUGGGUAGCGAAGAGGAUUAGAUACCCUCGUAGUCCAUGCCGUAAACGAUGUGUGCUAGACGUUGGAAAUAUAUUUUUCAGUGUCGCAGCGAAAGCAUUAAGCACACCGCCUGGGGAGUACGACCGCAAGGUUAAAACUCAAAUGAAUUGACGGGGACCCGCACAAGCAGUGGAGCAUGUGGUUUAAUUCGAAGAUACGCGCAGAACCUUACCAACACUUGACAUGUUCGUCGCGAGACUAAGAGAUUAGUCUUUUCAGUUCGGCUGGACGAAACACAGGUGCUGCAUGGCUGUCGUCAGCUCGUGUCGUGAGAUGUUGGGUUAAGUCCCGCAACGAGCGCAACCCCUACUUUUAGUUGCCAGCAUUUAGUUGGGCACUCUAGAGAGACCGCCGGUGAUAAACCGGAGGAAGGUGUGGAUGACGUCAAGUCAUCAUGCCCCUUACAUCCUGGGCUACACACGUACUACAAUGCUACGGACAAAGGGCAGCAAGUUCGCGAGGACAAGCAAAUCCCAUAAACCGUGGCUCAGUUCAGAUCGUAGGCUGCAACUCGCCUACGUGAAGGAGGAAUCGCUAGUAAUCGCAGGUCAGCAUACUGCGGUGAAUACGUUCCCGGGCCUUGUACACACCGCCCGUCACACCAUGGAAGUUGGCCACGCCCGAAGCCGUUACUCCAACCCUUGUGGAGGAGGACGUCGAAGGUGGGGCUGAUGACUGGGGUGAAGUCGUAACAAGGUAACC
Molecule: ribosomal RNA, 1499 nt
Filed under: uncultured bacterium
Lineage: Bacteria
Description: partial 16S ribosomal RNA
Rfam family: Bacterial small subunit ribosomal RNA
Source: RNAcentral